GACGAACGCUGGCGGCGUGCUUAACACAUGCAAGUGGAGCGACGAACCAGGGCUUGCCCUGGGGCAAAGCCGCGAACGGGUGAGUAACACGUGGGUAACCUGCCCCGAUGACCGGGACAACCCGAGGAAACUCGGGCUAAUACCGGAUGUGUCCGCGCCCCUCAAGGGGCACGUGGAAAGGAAGCUUCGGCCUCCGCAUCGGGAUGGGCCCGCGGCCCAUUAGCUUGUUGGUGAGGUAACGGCUCACCAAGGCCGCGAUGGGUAGCUGGUCUGAGAGGACGAUCAGCCACACUGGGACUGAGACACGGCCCAGACUCCUACGGGAGGCAGCAGUGGGGAAUCUUGCGCAAUGCGCGAAAGCGUGACGCAGCAACGCCGCGUGGGGGAAGACGGCCUUCGGGUUGUAAACCCCUUUCAGUUGGGACGAAGCUCCGUCCGUUAACAGCGGGCCGGAGUGACGGUACCUUCAGAAGAAGCCCCGGCUAACUACGUGCCAGCCGCCGCAGUAAAAC
RNAcentral lists this ribosomal RNA (512 nucleotides) under uncultured bacterium. RNAcentral describes it as "bacterial SSU rRNA". It matches the Rfam family "Bacterial small subunit ribosomal RNA", at positions 28 to 526 of the family's 1533-position model. The record is from RNAcentral.